CAGUAGCCGCGGUAAUACGGAGGGUGCAAGCGUUAAUCGGAAUUACUGGGCGUAAAGCGUGCGUAGGCGGUUCGUUAAGUCUGUUGUGAAAGCCCCGGGCUCAACCUGGGAAUGGCAAUGGAUACUGGCGAGCUAGAGUGUGUCAGAGGAUGGUGGAAUUCCCGGUGUAGCGGUGAAAUGCGUAGAGAUCGGGAGGAACAUCAGUGGCGAAGGCGGCCAUCUGGGACAACACUGACGCUGAGGCACGAAAGCGUGGGGAGCAAACAGGAUUAGAUACCCGGGUAGUCCCUGUCUCUUAUAA
This 301-nucleotide ribosomal RNA is filed under the name uncultured bacterium. Its description in RNAcentral is "partial 16S ribosomal RNA". It matches the Rfam family "Bacterial small subunit ribosomal RNA", at positions 509 to 809 of the family's 1533-position model. The record is from RNAcentral.